AGCCACGAGCUACAGGCUGGGGGCCGGGGUGUCACCUUUACGGAAGCGCUGGUGACUCCCUCCACCGCGGAGGAGUUUGGAGGCCCCACGCGGCUGAUGUGGCUCGUGGCUCGCGCAGGACCGGCUGGGGAAACAGCGACCCGGGAAGUGAGCCCUGUGUGCAGGUUCAGCCCUCUUUCAUUCUCCCUCUGGGUCUCCAAGGAUCUUAACCUAGAGCUCAGACCAGACUGAGCUCUAGGCUUAUCAGCUGACUUCUCAGAGGUGCCCCAGGCAGCCAUGGACGUGGGUCUCUCCAGC
Neofelis nebulosa (Clouded leopard) is the source of this 297-nucleotide long non-coding RNA. RefSeq lists it as uncharacterized. The transcript has 3 exons. The record is from RefSeq and is a predicted model, not a curated record. NCBI's taxonomy places the organism in Eukaryota, Metazoa, Chordata, Mammalia, Carnivora, Felidae.